UACGGAGGGGGGCUAGCGUUGUUCGGAAUUACUGGGCGUAAAGCGCACGUAGGCGGCUUUGUAAGUUAGAGGUGAAAGCCCGGGGCUCAACUCCGGAAUUGCCUUUAAGACUGCAUCGCUAGAAUUGUGGAGAGGUAAGUGGAAUUCCGAGUGUAGAGGUGAAAUUCGUAGAUAUUCGGAAGAACACCAGUGGCGAAGGCGACUUACUGGACACAUAUUGACGCUGAGGUGCGAAAGCGUGGGGGAGCAAACAGG
Molecule: ribosomal RNA, 255 nt
Filed under: uncultured bacterium
Lineage: Bacteria
Description: partial 16S ribosomal RNA
Rfam family: Bacterial small subunit ribosomal RNA
Source: RNAcentral